AGUAUGAUACGUGGUGCUCAACAAUCAUGGACACGUAAUUAUUAAGAUUACAACUGUGUAACAUUACCUUCGUAACAUGGAAGAAUAGAUCACCACGUGGUUCCAUAUUACCAUCUUUUUUCCAGUAGUGGUUUGUAAGGUCUGGUUGGCCAUAUAAGGGUGUUUCAGUGUAAUGUGGGCCAAGAAUGAAGAAAGUAGUACACCAGAUCAACAAGUACUUCAGGUCUGGCCACCACCAUACCAGCAACUGUACACAUCACAUCAAUAGUCCAAGAGCCUGGCCCCAAAAUUUUGGCCCUUGGUGCCAUUUUGGGGCAAGAAAUCUCAAUUACUGGUGCUGAGGAUGGAUGCAGCUUAUAGUUGCGGAGAAUGAUAGGUCUACUUUAUUAAGAUAACUCGACAAAAGAAAAAUGCAUUUAUCCACGUUGAAACUUGUGAUAAUGAUCCAACAACACUGGUAACAUCCAAGAACUGACUCGUUAUUGGUGCAUCUUGGUGCUGCCUGAGUGAGGAAUCGGUUUAUAUAAACAAACUCUCCAAAUUGCAGUCUACAUGAGCAUCUGAAUGAAUUCAGUAUUGCCUGUUAAUGUUUUGACAGCAUAUGAAACCAAGUAAGAGAUGUUUGUGGAGGUUUCUGCUUUCCUCAUGAUGUGACAUACACUAGAUCCUGAUCAGAAGACUAUUAGAAGUUUUACUCAUUGGGAUAGGUUUUCUUUUUCAGGUUCUCCAGUCACUAACUGUUGAAGCAAACCCAGCAAAUUCAUGCUUUUUUUUUUUUUUUUUUUUUGUUCAGAUGGAUGGUAGGGCCACAGAGAUGGCAAACUGUUUUCCUGUAUUGAUAUCUGUACACAAGAUGAUGCCUGGUGAAUCAUGCACUCUGUCACUUGAUUUUGAUCUCGGUUCCUGAUAAUUUUGAAAGUUUUUUUCCAAGGACUGUAAUGCUAUCCAGAAUGGCAAACGACUUUCUGCUUCAUGCUUAUAAAUGUGAAUAAUAAUGUCUCCAACUUCUGAUCCCAAUCUCCAUUUGAUGUGCUUCUUGUUGGAUUCAUUCAUUAAAAAAUCUGUGGAAUGUAUGAAGCUCUCCAUUCUAGCUGCAAGUGUGGCUACAGGAACAACUAAUUGGUUUAUCAGGUAAAUGCUUGUUUUAGAUUUUUUUAGUAUAAUAUGUGGCAAGAGUUAUGAUGAUAAUUAGUCUCCACAGUAACAAUGUCUCGACUUGUUUCUGCUAAUAUCAUGUCAUCUUGUUUUUCCACUGCACAAUGUCAAAGCACCUCAACUAUUAACUGCCUUGCCAAGACGAGAUGUUCACGAGUGGAUGUGUUCUUUUCAAAUGCUUAUCUUUUCUACAAAAUAUACUCAGGCUAGUACACUAUCUGAAUGUAAAUGGCACUCUGUUAUGUCUUUGUUGCUCCAAUGCAGCCUGGAUUGUCUUCUGAAUUUUAAGCUUUUCUUUAAUUUUUAUUCAAAUAUCUUUUUAGAGUAAAUUGGCUCCUACAUUGUCUGUGGUAACAUAUGUUGGGCAUCUCUUGCUCAUGUAGAUUUUCUGCAGUUCAGAGAGUUGGUUUAUGAUUCCUCACUCGGGCAACAUCAAGAAGCACCAAUGAUGAGUCAUAGUCUUAAGAUGUUACUAAGUGGUGUUGGGUCAUUAUCACGUUUCAUUGUAGAUAAUGCAUUUUUCUUUCAUGGAGUCCACCUUGACAAAAAAUGUUGUUGGGUCAUUAUCACAAGUUUCAAUGUGGAUAAUGCAUUUUUCUUUCAUGGAGUCCAUCUUGACAAAGUAGACCUCCUAUCGUUCUCCAGAACUAUAAGCUGCAUCCAUCAUCAGCACCAGUAAUCUGAAAGAAACAAUGUGUUCAUUACUGUUAUGAACAGUAAAUGAAUGUUUUGAGGAGUGUAAGAAGAUACCUGCCAUGACUGAGCCACCCCUCUUCAUUAGGGAUAUGGCUAGUGUGUCACUAGAUGAAAUUAUUUUAUGAAGGGAACAAGUCACAUCACGUAUGUUGUUCGCCACUUUACAGCAACCAGCGUGUGUAGCCCAUUGACAAGCAUGAUUGUUGUUAUUUUAACAUCAAAUAACUUUCUUCAUAACAACAAAUAACUUUCUUAAUAUAACAACUUAAAUCACAUAGGAGCUGGUAUCAAAAGAAAGCUCCUGAAAUAUAGAAUAUGAAUGUGAAGUUCAAUCACAAAUACCAGACAUAAUAG
RNAcentral lists this long non-coding RNA (2205 nucleotides) under Portunus trituberculatus (swimming crab). RNAcentral's name for it is "uncharacterized LOC123513600". The record is from RNAcentral. Lineage: Eukaryota; Metazoa; Arthropoda; Malacostraca; Decapoda; Portunidae.